CCAGUAAAUCGUAUUUCUAAGAAUGCUGUUCCUUGCUUACUGAAAAGGUUACGAUGAAAUACAGAAAGUAAGAGAGAGAGAGAGAGAGAGAGAGAGAGAGAGAAAGAGAGAGAAAAGCAAAGAAAGAAAACCGAAACGAGACAAAAUUGGCGAGGAUAGAGAGACUGCUGAGCGAGAAAUAUCGGCCUCGGAAUUCCUAGAGGCCACCGAUAUUUGACGUAAGAGUUUUAAUGCAUGUAAAAUGUAACGACCACGGCUGGUAACCUCGAGAAGUAACAAAACCACUAAAUUAUCGGCUUGUCCCAUUCCCUUGGCAAGUAUCGGGUCGAGUAGAGCAUAACCGAGACUCGAUCAUUGUAGUAAUAUAGAUAUCUAUCACCGAAGAAAGAUUUUAACCUUUUUGCUUUGUUCUAAUUGACAAGUCAAAUUGCUUUUGUAUAAAUUAAUCAAUUAUUUUUACUUGACGAACAAACGAAUGAAAUAAAAAUAAUUAAAAUAUGAAUAUGGAGUUUCGACGAUAUGGUUCAAUUAUAAUGGUACACUAUCAAAUAGUUGCCAGCUCUUUGUUCUAUAAUAGCCUUCGAAGGAAGGCCAUAUAAUUUCGAUUUUACAUUUAAUCCGUUCCAUAUUCGUCGCACAAUGGAAGUUAUAACUUCGUUAAAGGAUAUUUCAAACGGAUAACAUCGUGGUAUAAUCGUAAAAAAAAGAAAAAGAGGAAAAAAAAGCGAAGAAAGAAAAAAGGAGGAAGAAGAAGAAGAAGAAGAAGAAGAAGAAGAAGUUGCACCAACACCAAAAGAACUUCCUUUUGCAGUAUCUCCUCUUAUCCUUUGAUUUACAAAGCUUGCUAAUAUUCUAUUCCUACUUCCUGGAUAAGCUCAUACUGUUCGCUACUAAAGUUUCGAGAUGGUUUCAAGGAGUAUUACGCGUUCCUACUUGCUCGUCUACACGUGAGUUCGAUGAUCAUGGUAAUUUUCACGUGAGAGGAAGAAAGAAAGAAAGAAAGAAACAAAGAAAAGGAAAAAGGGAAAAAAGGAGAGAGAGAGAAAGAGAGAGAGAGAGAGAGAGAGAGAAUCCUGCUAUGUAGGUACACUACUCUUUAUGACGACGAUACUCACGGUAGAAUCGUGACGGUCUUCGCAUGACCUUCGCCCGAGUCACGACGUUAUUUCUGGUCCCGAUGGGACGUGACUUCUUGCCAAUGGCGAAUAGGAGAGAUCGGAGAUCAGCGAAGAGAGAGAGAGAGAGAGAAAGAGAGAGAGAGAGAGAGAGAGAGAGAGAGAGAGAAAGAGAGACUUAGCAAGGAUCUCACAUUCCCGCUACCAGCUCUCUUCUUACACCGCAAAUAGGUUUUACUAGCAAGUCUGGCGGAGUUACGCUCUUCUUUCCCUUUAUCACCUUUUAUCCCUAGUCCUCCUGCCUCGUAAUCCGAUCUCUGAUGUGACUGACGUCUCUCAAAGACGCAAAAAACUCAAUGAGAGAGUGAGAGAAAGAGAAAGACCAUAUCCUUCGAAUUCACCAUGAAGACUAUUUUUUUUCACUGAAAUAUUCGAGAGGUCUGAUUUAAUAUUUAAACGUUUUAUCCAAAGCUAAACGAAUUCAAGGAUGAUGAAAAAUUAUGACUUAAGUUCAUGCGUAUAUAUAUAUAUAUAUAUAUAUGUGUGUGUAUAUAUGUAUAAAUUUUUAUCGAAGAAAGAAACCUUGUAUUGCAAUUUUGCGUGCAACGUCCGUUCUUAAUUGAAUUCCAUGGCGGUACACGUUCGACAAUAACCAUUGAGAUUAAUACACUGGAAUCAUUAUGAUAGGAAAGUUGCAACGAUAGAACCUCGCACCUCUUGAUAUAUCGAAGAAGGGUGAGUCGAUCGACGGCUUACACGGCGGUGCCCGAUUAAUUGGAGGAUAACAACCUUACUGACGGUCAGUGUCAUUUGCAUGGAAGAUCGUUACUUGUGUGCGUUUGUGUGUCUGUGCAUUUGUGGGUGUAUAUGAAACAGGCAAAAAGAAAGAAAGAAAAAAGAGAGAGAGAGAGAGAGAGAAAUAUAUAUAUCGAAAGAAAAAAGCGAAAAGGGUAAAAAGGUGUAGGUAAAAUUCCAAGUGAAAAGAAAGAAAAGGACAAAGAUAUAGAGAGAGAAAGACAGAGAGAAAGAGGAAGAGGAAGAGAAAGAGAGAGAGAGAGAGAGAGAGAGAGAGAGAGAAAACAGAGCCCAUUAAAGUACAGAGUUCAUGUAUGCCUUGAGCACAGAAAUGUCAAGACGUCACCCUCGGACGCGUUUAUACGGCCUUCUCUCGCUGGGCUAAUAAUAUAUACGAAGACGCAGCGUGUCACGAAGGAUCGAUCGUUCGAUCGAUGGGUAUCGAUGGAUCGAUCGAUCGAUUCACCGAUCGAUCCCUAGCAUAACGCGAUCAAGCAAGAACACCGGCGAGGCUGCCAACCGCAGAGAGAAUUCCUCGUUGGCACUGGCUGACGUUCUCGAUCGAUUUUGCGAAGGGCAAAAAGUGAAUUCGAGAGGGGAAGGAGGAUGAGUAAGACACGAGAUCUAUCAGCGAUAUUACUCUAUAGUCUGCCUUUAAACACAGUACGUAAGUAAGUUAUACUUUUACUUUUAUGAAUGAGUCUCAUACAAUUAGAAAAGUGCAUAAUCUCGUUUUUACGAGUUCGACCAUGAUCUUGAAUUUUUAAUCACGAUCUUAUCAUCAUCUCGUCGUCUUGAUCACUUGAAUACCUUAUCCUACUCGAGUAUCUUUUCGAAGGCGGCUCUCGAUGAAAUAUAAAAAUCGAGAAAAGAUCGUAGUUCUUCUUCGAAGGUCGUCGUCGU
Vespa velutina is the source of this 2813-nucleotide long non-coding RNA. RefSeq lists it as uncharacterized. NCBI's taxonomy places the organism in Eukaryota, Metazoa, Arthropoda, Insecta, Hymenoptera, Vespidae. The record is from RefSeq and is a predicted model, not a curated record. The transcript has 3 exons.